CGGGGGGUCGUGUGCCUGCGGU
RNAcentral lists this microRNA (22 nucleotides) under Sus scrofa (pig). Its description in RNAcentral is "ssc-mir119". Lineage: Eukaryota; Metazoa; Chordata; Mammalia; Artiodactyla; Suidae. The record is from RNAcentral.